GAUGAACGCUGGCGGCGUGCCUAAUACAUGCAAGUCGAGCGAACAGACGAGGCGCUUGCUCCUCUGACGUUAGCGGCGGACGGGUGAGUAACACGUGGAUAACCUACCUAUAAGACUGGGAUAACUUCGGGAAACCGGAGCUAAUACCGUAUAAUAUAUUGAACCGCAUGGUUCAAUAGUGAAAGACGGUUUUGCUGUCACUUAUAGAUGGAUCCGCGCCGCAUUAGCUAGUUGGUAAGGUAACGGCUUACCAAGGCGACGAUGCGUAGCCGACCUGAGAGGGUGAUCGGCCACACUGGAAGUGAGACACGGUCCAGACUCCUAAGGGAGGCAGCAGUAGGGAAUCUUCCGCAAUGGGCGAAAGCCUGACGGAGCAACGCCGCGUGAGUGAUGAAGGUCUUCGGAUCGUAAAACUCUGUUAUUAGGGAAGAACAAAUGUGUAAGUAACUAUGCACGUCUUGACGGUACCUAAUCAGAAAGCCACGGCUAACUACGUG
Molecule: ribosomal RNA, 497 nt
Filed under: uncultured bacterium
Lineage: Bacteria
Description: partial 16S ribosomal RNA
Rfam family: Bacterial small subunit ribosomal RNA
Source: RNAcentral